AUGCACCACCCGAGGGCCCGGUACCCGCCCGGCUACGACUACGGCGGCGGUGGCGGCGGCCGCGGCGGUAACGGCGGCGGCGGAGGCGGUGGAGGAGGUGGCGGCGGGAACCAAAACUACUACGGCGGCCGAAACCCGCAUCCCCAGCACCACGAUUACCAGCAGCAGCAGCCGCACGCGCAGAGGAACUCGUUCCCGCAGCAGCAGCAGCAGCAGCACACGCAGAGGAACUCGUUCUCGCAGCAACAGCAGCAGCAGCAUCAGCAACAACAGCAUCAGCAGUGGCUGCGGCGGGACCAGGCCGCGGCCCAGGCGUCAGGAGAGGGUGCGGCCAGGACGGUGGCGCGACUCGACGCGGUGGACACGAGCUCUCAAGAUUGGAAGGCACAGUUGAAUAUUCCAGCUCCAGAUACUCGUUUUAGGACAGAGGAUGUUACUGCAACGAAAGGCAACGAGUUUGAAGAUUAUUUUUUGAAACGUGAGCUACUUAUGGGAAUAUAUGAGAAGGGAUUUGAAAGGCCAUCUCCUAUUCAAGAAGAAAGCAUUCCAAUUGCUCUAACUGGAAGUGAUAUUCUUGCAAGAGCGAAAAACGGCACCGGGAAGACCGCUGCAUUUUGCAUUCCAGCACUCGAAAAGAUUGACCCAGAGAAAAAUGCCAUACAAGUUGUUAUACUGGUACCAACAAGGGAACUAGCUCUGCAGACUUCACAAGUUUGCAAAGAGCUUGGAAAAUACCUGAAUAUUGAAGUUAUGGUUAGUACUGGAGGAACCAGCUUGAAGGACGACAUUAUGCGUUUGUACCAACCUGUUCAUUUACUCGCCGGGACACCUGGCCGUAUACUAGAUCUUACCAAGAAGGGCAUUUGUAUGCUGAACGAAUGUUCAAUGCUCAUCAUGGACGAGGCAGACAAGCUGUUAGCUCCUGAGUUUCAGCCUUCCGUGGAGCAACUCAUUCGUUACCUUCCAGCUAGUCGGCAACUAUUGCUGUUUUCUGCAACCUUUCCUGUAACUGUCAAGGAUUUUAAGCAGAAAUACCUACCUAGACCCUAUGUUAUUAAUCUGAUGGAUGAACUAACACUGAAAGGAAUCACACAAUACUAUGCCUUCGUAGAAGAAAGGCAAAAGGUUCAUUGUCUGAACACGCUUUUCUCAAAGCUUCAAAUAAAUCAGUCUAUUAUAUUCUGCAACUCUGUUAAUAGAGUUGAGCUACUGGCAAAGAAAAUCACUGAACUUGGCUAUUCGUGCUUCUACAUUCAUGCUAAAAUGUUGCAAGACCACCGAAACCGGGUGUUUCAUGAUUUUCGGAAUGGUGCUUGCAGAAACCUUGUUUGCACAGAUCUUUUUACCAGAGGAAUUGACAUUCAAGCUGUUAAUGUUGUCAUUAAUUUUGACUUCCCCAAGACUGCUGAAACAUAUUUGCAUAGGGUUGGUCGUUCUGGAAGAUUUGGACACCUUGGUUUGGCGGUGAACUUAAUCACUUAUGAGGACCGUUUCAACAUGUAUAGGAUUGAGCAAGAACUUGGGACAGAAAUAAAAACAAUACCUCCACAGAUUGACCUGGCGGAGUAUUGCCAAUGA
RNAcentral lists this ribosomal RNA (1578 nucleotides) under Triticum aestivum (bread wheat). Its description in RNAcentral is "partial small subunit ribosomal RNA". Lineage: Eukaryota; Viridiplantae; Streptophyta; Magnoliopsida; Poales; Poaceae. The record is from RNAcentral.